RNAcentral lists this non-coding RNA (30 nucleotides) under Mus musculus (house mouse). The record is from RNAcentral. Lineage: Eukaryota; Metazoa; Chordata; Mammalia; Rodentia; Muridae.
UUCUCUAACGAAAGAGGACUGUCGGGUUUC